Long non-coding RNA from Paramormyrops kingsleyae, 1057 nucleotides. RefSeq lists it as uncharacterized. The record is from RefSeq and is a predicted model, not a curated record. Lineage: Eukaryota; Metazoa; Chordata; Actinopteri; Osteoglossiformes; Mormyridae.
CCAUAUAAAUUUCUCAACUAAACUGUUUAAUGUGUUUUUAAAGCAUUUGCAUACGUUUAUAGCAUGAUGCUUUAAGUCUGCAAUAACCCAGCUUAAAGGUUAUAGCAUAUAUACCACAUAUGUUUUGCAUACGGAUAAAUCUCGGGCAAACCCAAGAAAACGUGUGACGGAGAUACUGGCCAAUCAUGAUGCUUCUACAGCUACAUCCUCCAAUACACGAAUGCGAUACUGCCAGGCCUUCUUCUGGCCACAUUAUUUUGUCCAAUGGCCAUACAGUGAUCUUUAUGGUCAGGGGUAAUUUUCCUGCUUACUAAGUUCAAAUAAGCACUUGCAGACAUCAUGAGGGAAGAGCUGAUAUGAUCUUCAAAUCAUCUUGAGCAGCCUUAGAGUUACUUGAGGGCACCAGAGGAUGACUGUUCUACAAGCGGAAAUUGGCUUGAGUCGAAAGUAGAACUGGAACGUGGGGAAGUCCGAGAAAGAACGGCAGGCGCCGGGAGCCAUGGUAACGGAGACAGUCGGGAGAGCCGCUAUGCCUGCAUAUUCGGGGGAGGAGGGGAGGAGAUUAGAGAGGUGCCAUUCUUUGGAGCCCCGUUAAAAGUGCUGCCCGACGGAACCGCGCUCCUGGAACAGAAGGGGCAAAGUGACAAGCAGGACAUUCUGUCGGAAACUUUGAAUCGGCAAAGCGGAAUAUCGUGUGAAUAACAAACAGCAAGCAUGUCAUGCAUUACGAAACACAUCCAUGUCAGGAAAAACGACAUACUGCUAAAAUAUCUUCAAUUGUCUCCCCUCCCCCAUUACAGCUUCACAGUCGUUGUACUUCAGGCUUUGCAGUCUUGUCUGCUGCUAUGCAUGUACAUUGUACAAUUCAUAUGUAUUCUUCCAGAUACUUCCAUAUCUCCAUUUACAUAUUAAGUUUUUAGACAUAUUUACUGUUGUCCUACGUCUUGUUACCUUGCAUCUGUCUGCAGGAAAAAUGAAAGUAAGCCAUCUCUUCGUAUUCAGUAGCCUACUUGUACUAAUACAAAUGACAAUAAACCUUUAGAAUCCUUUGAAUGAA